RNAcentral lists this ribosomal RNA (124 nucleotides) under Staphylococcus hyicus. RNAcentral's name for it is "partial 23S ribosomal RNA". It matches the Rfam family "Bacterial large subunit ribosomal RNA", at positions 1 to 124 of the family's 2925-position model. Lineage: Bacteria; Bacillati; Bacillota; Bacilli; Caryophanales; Staphylococcaceae. The record is from RNAcentral.
GAUUAAGUUAUUAAGGGCGCACGGUGGAUGCCUUGGCACUAGAAGCCGAUGAAGGACGUUACUAACGACGAUAUGCUUUGGGGAGCUGUAAGUAAGCUGUGAUCCAGAGAUUUCCGAAUGGGGG